RNAcentral lists this ribosomal RNA (449 nucleotides) under uncultured bacterium. Its description in RNAcentral is "bacterial SSU rRNA". It matches the Rfam family "Bacterial small subunit ribosomal RNA", at positions 330 to 795 of the family's 1533-position model. The record is from RNAcentral.
UCCAGACUCCUACGGGAGGCAGCAGUGGGGGAUAUUGCACAAUGGGGGGAACCCUGAUGCAGCGACGCCGCGUGGGUGAAGGAGCGUUUCGGCGCGUAAAGCCCUAUCGGCAGGGAAGAAGGAGGACGGUACCUGACUAAGAAGCCCCGGCUAACUACGCGCCAGCAGCCGCGGUAAUACGUAGGGGGCAAGCGUUAUCCGGAUUUACUGGGUGUAAAGGGGGCGCAGACGGCGAUGCAAGCCAGGAGUGAAAGCCCGGGGCCCAACCCCGGGACUGCUCUUGGAACUGCGUGGCUGGAGUGCAGGAGGGGCAGGCGGAAUUCCUGGUGUAGCGGUGAAAUGCGUAGAUAUCAGGAGGAACACCGGUGGCGAAGGCGGCCUGCUGGACUGCAACUGACGUUGAGGCCCGAAAGCGUGGGGAGCAAACAGGAUUAGAUACCCGAGUAACA